RNAcentral lists this unclassified non-coding RNA (218 nucleotides) under uncultured Tomentella. RNAcentral describes it as "partial internal transcribed spacer 2". RNAcentral also lists the same sequence under 1 other name. The record is from RNAcentral. Lineage: Eukaryota; Fungi; Basidiomycota; Agaricomycetes; Thelephorales; Thelephoraceae.
ACACCUCAACUCUCAUGGUUUGCCAUGAUGAGCUUGGACUUUGGAGGUCUUGCUGGCCAGCGGUCGGCUCCUCUCAAAUGAAUCAGCUUGCCAGUGUUUGGCGGCGCCACAGGUGUGAUAACUAUCUACGCUUGUGGUUUCCCGCCAGGUUUCCUUCAGUGAUGGAGGUUCGCUGGAGCUCAUAAAUGUCCCUCCCCAGUGAGGACAACUUCAUGAAU